RNAcentral lists this ribosomal RNA (244 nucleotides) under Cardinium endosymbiont of Cassida viridis. RNAcentral's name for it is "partial 16S ribosomal RNA". It matches the Rfam family "Bacterial small subunit ribosomal RNA", at positions 528 to 774 of the family's 1533-position model. Lineage: Bacteria; Pseudomonadati; Bacteroidota; Cytophagia; Cytophagales; Amoebophilaceae. The record is from RNAcentral.
GAGGGUGCGAGCGUUAAUCGGAAUUACUGGGCGUAAAGGGCUAGUAGGCGGAUUAUUAAGUUAGCUGUGAAAUCUCUGGGCUUAACCUGGGAAGUGCAGUUGAGACUGAUAGUCUAGAGUAUUGUAGAGGGGGGUAGAAUUCCAGGUGUAGCGGUGAAAUGCGUAGAUAUCUGGAGGAAUACCGGUGGCGAAGGCGGCCCCCUGGACAAAACUGACGCUGAGGGACGAAAGCGUUAAGUGAUCC